CUAGCAAUCACAGGAGACAGAAAACGCUCGUUCUUCAGCUCCUCUCAUCAUGAUGCCUUCCAGUAUAGAUGGUCCUCUCCUCCACCAAGCACUGAAACGGUAGAAUUUCAAGUCCAUUUUUCAACUAUUAACCGUGAUAACGUCCCAUAUGCAUUCCAAAUGUCUUGCAGCAGUUCCACUCGUCCUUGGUAAUGAGAGACAAGGACAAGAUAUCAGAACAUGAAACAACUCAUUCAGCCUCAUUGUUGACUGACUCAGAUGAUGAUGUCUGUUUGGGGGAGGAGCUAGGUCUCCACAGCUGCAGUGAAUCAUUGAUUAGCCACCUGUGUUUGACGUGUGUGCGCAUGCAGCAAGCAGUUGGGGUAAACAUUCCUUUUCUUCCCUCUUUGAGAGCUUUUUCAUGGAGUUGCCGUGUGCAUGACUUUUCAUUGGUUUCAUGUUUCCACCAGAGCGAGUUCAUAUACAAUCAGGAAAUGUAACUUUUGAGCUCUAUACCUAGAGGAGACACGGACGCAAGGCGGAAUCAAGCAAGAUCAACAGCAACAACCAACCGAUGAUUCUUCUCAGAGGAAAACCACAAACCGUCCCCAGUUCACAUGGACAAACCUAGCUUCAGGACCAAGAGUAAUGUUGAGUUUGGGAGGUUCAUUAUGGCAGGAAUGCUUUACAGCACCACAGCUCAGGAAAGCUAUCUGCAGAAAUAUGUGACUCGAGUCAAGCCUCAGAUUUAUCCGUCCGGUUCGAGUGUUGGCAGAUCAAGGUGACACCAGAGCCUGGUCCAGCUGUUACUACUGUGCGAAGUGAUCAUGUUCCAGUAAACUGUAGAUGUGUUUUAAACCCUCAGAAACUGUAUGAGGUAAAACAUUUACUGUGCAAAUCACUGAACUAAGAUUUCUCAUUUGCUCGAAGAGAUUCAGCAGGAAGAGACUAUCUUUUUUUUUUUGCGUUAUGUUUCUGCUACUAAAAUUCACACGUCUUGUGUUUUUGAAUAUUUGGAAACUAAGCCAUAAGUAUAAAAUGGUUGAGAUUUUAGGACCUUUAGUAUGUCUUCUGCUGUCUUUCUAAAUUAAAAGCAGUCACAUCAGGCCUCCUAACAGUGAAUUUUACUUCACAACAACCCACACAGAACCUUUUUCGCUUAAGCCUAAAUCCAAGGUUUCUUUGCACAACCCACCAAGACGGCAUAUCGGCCACGUGGAAUUUUGAAGACAAAAAAAAAAACAACCCGAUAUAUUAUGGAGGUAUGCUCUUCCAUGUUGUUAAAUUUGUUAAAAUGCACUUGUAUCACAGUGCUGUUGAAUCCUAGCUUUUGAUUGCUAAGGAGGUAUUGAUGUUAAUCUUCUAUAAUAGCAGCGCUCAUAGUAGUUCUGGCUUUAUAUCAGGUUUAUAUUAAUGCACUCAUUCGGAUAGAACGACCUCUACGGCGGAUGCUCCUCGUUUAAACAGGUUUUUAAAAAUACGUAUAAUGAAGCUUUUUGUAAGGAGACCUUUUAUUUAGCAUUUUUGGAAGUACAAAGAUAUUUUUGGUGCAAAUACAAGACCGCUUAUCGUCCAAAGAACACCACGACCACAGUGAAGCAUGGUGGUGAUACCAUCAUGCUAUGCCACUGCUUCACUUCAACUGGGACUGGGGGUCUGGUCAAGAUAGAUGGAUUUAGAGAUAGCACUAAAUACUAAUUUCUUUUGGCACAAAACCUGUAGGCCUCUGUUAGAUAGCUGAAGAGCAAUUUAACUUCCAGCACCAAAAAAAAAAAAGCUUAAGUCAGUAGAGGAACAGUUACAGAAGAAGAUCAAAGUUUUGGAAUGGCCCAGUCAGAAGGCAGAUCGAAAUCCUAUCAAAAAACUGUGAAAUGACUUGCAAUUGUAAAAUGCCCCAAUUGUAAUGAGAUCUCCUUAGAUCUUUUAGAAAUUAUUAUUAUUUGUAUUAUUUUUUAAAUAAAAUUUCCAAAAUCAAGAUGUGUUACGCUGUUAGACUCUUACAACUAAAAGUGCUUUAGCAAAGUAUUACUUAAGGGGUUUCCACACUUAUAGAACCGGAUUAUUGAAGUUAUUUUUUUCCCUAAAACAUUUCAACUUAUUUUUCUCGAGUUCUGUUGGUUGCUAAAUCACAUUAAAGUUAAAAAAA
Molecule: long non-coding RNA, 2125 nt
Organism: Ictalurus furcatus (blue catfish)
Lineage: Eukaryota; Metazoa; Chordata; Actinopteri; Siluriformes; Ictaluridae
Exons: 4
Source: RefSeq, a predicted model, not a curated record